UGAUGACUGAAAUGUGCUUGUCUGUGAAGUGCCACCUAUGCCUUCAAAGUGAUAAAGAUCCAGACUGAGUUGAAAAGAAUGAUAAAGACAGAGCUGAGAGGGCCACAGUUUUAGUGACAGCCUCAGCUGUGACAAAGGAGAGAAAACAGAAAGACCUGGGAAAGUGCAAGGAUGAAGCAAUUAAGUUUGAGAAAUGUGAUGUGAGGUUUAGGAAAGGUGGAUUUUAGCCCCAGCAGACUUUUAGCUGGACACGGACCUAAUACCUUGAGACUUCAUUGUUCCCAUUAAAGAAAAAAUUAUCUUCUGACUUUCUAGGGGUUUGGGGGUCCCAGAUAUCAAAAGAUUUAAACCACUUAGGAGGUUUCCAUUGGAAGGAGAAGACUGUCUUUAGCCCACUGCAUCCCCUCAAGCCAUCCCAAGCUUUCUCUGUGCCAGGGACUGGACGCACGCUAAAAUACGAACCUGUGUGGACUUCUUUCUUAGGAGCCUUUGCACCAGCACAAGUCCAUUCAAAGGACAUCCCAACAUCAUCAGUUAACCAAGUGUGUGUUCCACCCCAGGGAAGGACAGCGUAGGGCCGAGAGGAAUCACGGCUGAAUGGUCUGAGAUCCCGACCUGCAGAAGUAACUGGCCACUUCAGGGAAGAGAUGACUAAGAGCACUUAGAAUUUAUCCAGCUCUCAAGGCGACUUCACCAAGGAACAACCACAGUGUUGUUUUUUCACAGAAACACCAAACUUGGAAAUAAACCCUUCCA
This 756-nucleotide long non-coding RNA is filed under the name Homo sapiens (human). RNAcentral describes it as "HSALNT0338112". Lineage: Eukaryota; Metazoa; Chordata; Mammalia; Primates; Hominidae. The record is from RNAcentral.